Molecule: ribosomal RNA, 503 nt
Filed under: uncultured bacterium
Lineage: Bacteria
Description: bacterial SSU rRNA
Rfam family: Bacterial small subunit ribosomal RNA
Source: RNAcentral
ACUCAAAGGAAUUGACGGGGGCCCGCACAAGCAGUGGAGCGUGUGGUUUAAUUCGAGGCAACGCGCAGAACCUUACCAGGGUUUGACAUCAUACUGACGUCUGUAGAAACACAGAUUUCCGUUUAGGCGGACGGUAUGACAGGUGUUGCAUGGUUGUCGUCAGCUCGUGUCGUGAGAUGUUGGGUUAAGUCCCGCAACGAGCGCAACCCCUAUCCAAUGUUGCCAACAGGUAAAGCUGGGGACUCAUUGGAGACUGCCGGAGACGAUCUGGAGGAAGGUGGGGAUGAGGUCAAAUCAUCAUGGCCCUUAAGCCCUGGGCUACACACGCGCUACAAUGGCCGGUACAACGGGCAGCGAAGGAGCGAUCUGGAGCGAAUCCCAAAAAGCCGGCCCCAGUUGGAAUCGCAGGCUGCAACCCGCCUGCGUGAACAUGGAAUUGCUAGUAAUCGCGAAUCAGCUACGUCGCGGUGAAUACGUUCCCGGGCCUUGUACACACCGCCCGU